CUGUGGACUGGGUUUUCCAAAGACUGCCCAUCAGCCUCUUGCUAUGAUAAUCUUGGUUCUACCCAGCUAGUUUCCUUAAAAUUUAUCACCCAAACCAGUGAUAUUUAAACACUUUCGUAAGUGAAUAAUUUUUUGUGUGACUGAAUAUUAACAAUCGCUUUUGUGAGUGUUAAUAGUUGUGCCAGGACAACCGGUCAGCCUGUGUAUAGGAGCAGGGCCUGCUCAGGGGCCAAGGGCCCAGGCCCUGGAGUUAGAGAGAUGGGCUUCACAUCUGCCUCCGCUCUUCCUGGCUGUGAAGACAGGGCCAGCCAGUGGCCUCCGCGUCCUUCCGUUUUCUGAUCUAUAAAUAGGGAUGAUGCUGCCCACUUCACGGGUCGUGCCCGCCCCGUGGUGAGCACUUCCUAAAUGUUAGGUAUCACUUUCACUGUCAUUCUUGUUACUAAAUGGGUCCUUUCUUGCUAGACCUCAGAAAUACAACAAAGGGACUUGUUGAGAAGACAAGCCCAGCCUUUGAAAGGCAAUGCACAGAGAAGGCCUGUGGUGCCUCCACCCUCCUCCCUGAGGAACUAGUGUGAUGACUGGUCUGACCAGGACGCCAGCAGCCAAACACAGAUCUUCUGGAGGCACCUGCCUUUCCUGGCUCAGGAGCCCCAGGCCUAGCCUCAGAUGACGCCUAUUCUUGAUCAGCUCAAAACCUGGCCUUGGGGGCACUUGAAGAUGGACACCCCCAAUGGGGUGGCUACCGCUUCCUCCUCUGAGAUCCAGAUGGAUCUGCUCUCCUCCUCUCCAGAGAAGAUGCCUUAGCACUGGCUCCUCAGGGACCCUUAACCUCAUGCAGGUGCAUCUGGCUGGAGGUGUCUUAAGUGGCAUGUCUGCCCCAUCUGCAGUUACUGGACCUCAUCAUCAACCCUUCUCCCAUAAUUGAUCUUACAAACCACAGCAGAACCCAGGAGAAAGCUGAGAGCUGUGUCUCAAAAAGAGAAGAAUUCCUUGAAAAGAGGAUUCAUGGCUUCACUCCAAAACUCAGGGCUUUCUGUUAUCCUCUGACCGCCUCGCUCACGGAUCUAUUCCUUGCUUGCCUAGAGCUGCCCCUGGGUGAGUGCUCUGAGAGCAGGGACCUUGUUCAUCUCUCCAUCCUCAGAACCCAGAACAGUGCCCGGCCCACCAGAGGUACUGGAAAGGUUGAGUUACUGAGUCGUGUCCAUGAAUUGUCCCCUCCCACAGUGAAUAGGGCUGACCUGUGUGACUAGUAAGG
RNAcentral lists this long non-coding RNA (1255 nucleotides) under Sus scrofa (pig). RNAcentral describes it as "lncRNA (ENSSSCG00015078992.1)". The record is from RNAcentral. Lineage: Eukaryota; Metazoa; Chordata; Mammalia; Artiodactyla; Suidae.